ACGGGUGAGUAACACGUGGGUAACCGCCUGGUAAGACUGGGAUAACUCCGGGAAACCGGGGCUAAUACCGGAUGCUUGAUUGAACCGCAUGGUUCAAUCAUAAAAGGUGGCUUUUAGCUACCACUUACAGAUGGACCCGCGGCGCAUUAGCUAGUUGGUGAGGUAACGGCUCACCAAGGCGACGAUGCGUAGCCGACCUGAGAGGGUGAUCGGCCACACUGGGACUGAGACACGGCCCAGACUCCUACGGGAGGCAGCAGUAGGGAAUCUUCCGCAAUGGACGAAAGUCUGACGGAGCAACGCCGCGUGAGUGAUGAAGGUUUUCGGAUCGUAAAACUCUGUUGUUAGGGAAGAACAAGUACCGUUCGAAUAGGGCGGCACCUUGACGGUACCUAACCAGAAAGCCACGGCUAACUACGUGCCAGCAGCCGCGGUAAUACGUAGGUGGCAAGCGUUGUCCGGAAUUAUUGGGCGUAAAGCGCGCGCAGGCGGUUUCUUAAGUCUGAAGUGAAAGCCCCCGGCUCAACCGGGGAGGGUCAUUGGAAACUGGGGAACUUGAGUGCAG
RNAcentral lists this ribosomal RNA (565 nucleotides) under Bacillus licheniformis. RNAcentral describes it as "bacterial SSU rRNA". It matches the Rfam family "Bacterial small subunit ribosomal RNA", at positions 102 to 651 of the family's 1533-position model. Lineage: Bacteria; Bacillati; Bacillota; Bacilli; Caryophanales; Bacillaceae. The record is from RNAcentral.